RNAcentral lists this transfer RNA (72 nucleotides) under Bos taurus (domestic cattle). It matches the Rfam family "tRNA". From Rfam's summary of the family: Transfer RNA (tRNA) molecules are approximately 80 nucleotides in length. Their secondary structure includes four short double-helical elements and three loops (D, anti-codon, and T loops). Further hydrogen bonds mediate the characteristic L-shaped molecular structure. tRNAs have two regions of fundamental functional importance: the anti-codon, which is responsible for specific mRNA codon recognition, and the 3' end, to which the tRNAs corresponding amino acid is attached (by aminoacyl-tRNA synthetases). tRNAs cope with the degeneracy of the genetic code in two manners: having more than one tRNA (with a specific anti-codon) for a particular amino acid; and 'wobble' base-pairing, i.e. permitting non-standard base-pairing at the 3rd anti-codon position. Lineage: Eukaryota; Metazoa; Chordata; Mammalia; Artiodactyla; Bovidae. The record is from Rfam by way of RNAcentral. RNAcentral also lists the same sequence under 4 other names.
UCCCUGGUGGCUCAGAUGGUAAAGAAUCUGCCUGUAAUGCAGGAGACCUGGGUUCAACUCCUGGGUUGGGAA